CCUACGGGAGGCAGCAGUGAGGAAUAUUGGUCAAUGGGCGUAAGCCUGAACCAGCCAAGUCGCGUGAGGGAUGAAGGUUCUAUGGAUCGUAAACUUCUUUUAUAAGGGAAUAAAGUGCGGUACGUAUACUGUUUUGUAUGUACCUUAUGAAUAAGGAUCGGCUAACUCCGUGCCAGCAGCCGCGGUAAUACGGAGGAUCCGAGCGUUAUCCGGAUUUAUUGGGUUUAAAGGGUGCGUAGGCGGGCUGUUAAGUCAGCUGUGAAAGUUUGUGGCUCAACCGUAAAAUUGCAGUUGAUACUGGGAGGCUUGAGUAUGUUUGAGGUAGGCGGAAUGCGUGGUGUAGCGGUGAAAUGCUUAGAUAUCACGCAGAACCCCGAUUGCGAAGGCAGCCUGCCAGGCUAUGACUGACGCUGAUGCACGAAAGUGUGGGGAUCAAACAGGAUUAGAUACCCGAGUAGUC
Molecule: ribosomal RNA, 460 nt
Filed under: uncultured bacterium
Lineage: Bacteria
Description: partial 16S ribosomal RNA
Rfam family: Bacterial small subunit ribosomal RNA
Source: RNAcentral